GAACAGCUUAGUGGUUGCCAGGCAUCAGGGCAAUGGAGAGGGAAGAAGGUGGUUGGCACUGGAAGGACAAUGGGAGGCAUCCUUGUGCAGAGGAAAGGGUCUGUAUGUUGAGUGCGCCGAGGUACUACAGCUGUCCAAGAUGCCACCGGUGGGGGAAAUAGGUUGACCUGAGUAUUCUGCCAACAGACUGACCUAGCAGGUCAGUCCCCAGGCCGGGCUCUACCCCUGGGAAUGGCACCCCUCCUCCAGAGGAAG
Molecule: long non-coding RNA, 255 nt
Filed under: Homo sapiens (human)
Lineage: Eukaryota; Metazoa; Chordata; Mammalia; Primates; Hominidae
Description: non-protein coding lnc-SPAG16-9:1
Source: RNAcentral